GGACUACCCGGGUAUCUAAUCCUGUUUGCUACCCACGCUUUCGUGUCUCAGCGUCAGUUGCGGUCCAGAAAGCCGUCUACACCACAGGUGUUCCUCCUGAUAUCUACGCAUUUCACCGCUACACCAGGAAUUCCACUUUCCCAUCCCGCACUCUAGCCCCCCAGUUUUCGGCGCACCCUCCCAGUUGAGCCGGGAGAUUUCACACCAAACUUAGGGGACCGCCUACACACCCUUUACGCCCAGUAACUCCGAACAACGCUUGCUGCCUACGUAUUACCGCGGCUGCUGGCAC
RNAcentral lists this ribosomal RNA (292 nucleotides) under uncultured Acidobacteriota bacterium. RNAcentral describes it as "uncultured Acidobacteria bacterium partial 16S ribosomal RNA". The record is from RNAcentral. Lineage: Bacteria; Pseudomonadati; Acidobacteriota.